RNAcentral lists this non-coding RNA (25 nucleotides) under Cricetulus griseus (Chinese hamster). Lineage: Eukaryota; Metazoa; Chordata; Mammalia; Rodentia; Cricetidae. The record is from RNAcentral.
AGGGAUGGAAAGGUUGACGGACCCG